AGGGUUCGAUUCUGGCUCAGGAUGAACGCUGGCGGCGUGCCUAAUACAUGCAAGUCGAACGGGUGUAGCAAUACAUCAGUGGCGAACGGGUGAGUAACACGUUGGUGACCUGCCCCAAAGAUGGGAAUAUCACCUGGAAACGGGUGGCAAAACCGAAUAAGCUUGACUCAGUCAGAGAAGGUCAAGUAAAAGCGAAAGCUACUUUGGGAGGGGCCUGCGGCCCAUCAGUUAGUUGGUGAGGGUAACGGCCCACCAAGACGAAGACGGGUAGGGACCUGAGAGGGUGGUCCCCCACAAUGGAACUGAAACACGGUCCAUACACCUGCGGGUGGCAGCAGUAGGGAAUAUUGCUUAAUGGGACGAAAGCCUGAAGCAGCAACGCCGCGUGGACGAAGGAGGCCUUCGGGUCGUAAAGUUCCUUUUAUGGGGGAAAAGGAAGGAUGGUACCCCAUGAAUAAGUCUCGGCUAACUACGUGCCAGCCGCCGC
RNAcentral lists this ribosomal RNA (487 nucleotides) under uncultured bacterium. Its description in RNAcentral is "bacterial SSU rRNA". It matches the Rfam family "Bacterial small subunit ribosomal RNA", at positions 8 to 518 of the family's 1533-position model. The record is from RNAcentral.